This 75-nucleotide transfer RNA is filed under the name marine sediment metagenome. It matches the Rfam family "tRNA". From Rfam's summary of the family: Transfer RNA (tRNA) molecules are approximately 80 nucleotides in length. Their secondary structure includes four short double-helical elements and three loops (D, anti-codon, and T loops). Further hydrogen bonds mediate the characteristic L-shaped molecular structure. tRNAs have two regions of fundamental functional importance: the anti-codon, which is responsible for specific mRNA codon recognition, and the 3' end, to which the tRNAs corresponding amino acid is attached (by aminoacyl-tRNA synthetases). tRNAs cope with the degeneracy of the genetic code in two manners: having more than one tRNA (with a specific anti-codon) for a particular amino acid; and 'wobble' base-pairing, i.e. permitting non-standard base-pairing at the 3rd anti-codon position. The record is from RNAcentral.
GGCCCCGUCGUCUAGUGGCUAGGACGCCGCUCUUUCAAGGCGGUAACACGGGUUCGAAUCCCGUCGGGGCCACCA